Humulus lupulus (European hop) is the source of this 3227-nucleotide long non-coding RNA. RefSeq lists it as uncharacterized. The transcript is spliced from 6 exons. NCBI's taxonomy places the organism in Eukaryota, Viridiplantae, Streptophyta, Magnoliopsida, Rosales, Cannabaceae. The record is from RefSeq and is a predicted model, not a curated record.
UGUCUUAACUAAAGUUCUAGCUUCUGGAUAGUUCAGCAACAUCGCUCUGCUAGGGUUUCUUUGCCUUUCUUCAACAUCUCACUUACUUAGUUGUCUCUUUGAUUGUGCAGUACAUGUCGUUAGCCAUGAGUUUCCACCCCAUCCCCCAAGUACUCAGUGCCAGUUCCUUCUUCUCUUUCUUCAGGCAACCAUUACCCAUGUGGCUUGGGGUUUCAACUCGUGAUCCUCUCUCCACCAUUAAUGCCAGCGUUAUUAGUUGAUUAAAAGACAGGAGGGAUUUGACAGGGAAUAUGAUUGUGCAAGCUUCUGAUGGAGCAACCAACCGAUAUUGAAUCUCCUAGUGUUAUACGUGGUCGUAUGAAAUCACGUGCGCUUAAGAGAGUUGUUCCAAUGCCCAUACCAUUUCAGUUUGAAGUUCCCAAAGGCUCUGAAGUUGAACAACCUGCAGUUGAAGAUGCAAUUGCUGCCUCAAAUGAAGAACAAGUUCAAGCAGACUUUGUAGUUGAACCACCUAUUGAAGCUGUUGAAAAUACAGUUGCUACCUCAAAUGAAGAACACAUUCCUCAGCCAUUUGAACCUGUGGUUUGUACAUGAAGCACAAAUAUGCUGCCCGAAGGGCUCAUAAAAUGCCAAAUGAGACCGUUGAAGCCAAUGUUGAGCAGUUGUCAAGUCCAACUGAUGAUAGCGACUUGGAUUGGGAAAAGGGAGGCUUGAGAGUUCAACAAAUUAUGAAAACAACUCUAAUUUUACAAAGGAAUGUGAUGAAUCUGAGACAUAGGCUUUUUAUGGGGCUUCUAUGAUAGUGAUGAGGAUGGUCACAUGGGUUGCAAGAGAGUACACAGAUAAAAAAUGGUUGUUGAUCCAAACUCAAAAAUGCCUAUAUUAAAAAUUGGAGAUAUUUACCAGAAUGGGAAGAUAGUGCUUCAAUUGUGGCAAAGAUUUAGGGACCACAAGCACUUUUGGGAUGUGUUGAAAUAUUACACUAUUGAAGAAGGUUUUGAGCCGCGUAAAGUGAAGCAUGCUAGAAGCAGAGUCACAACACUUUAUUGAGCAAAAUGAUUCACUUGGAGGAUCUGUGCUUCCUUAUCUCCUGAUGGAAGACACUUUAUCAUCAAAUCAUUGAACCAGGAGCACAAAUGCCAAUGUAUAGUGAAGAAUAUGACAGGAACCUCUAGCUGGAUUGCAUAGAAGCUUCACAAUAGUUUUGCUACAACGCCUAAUCUGAGUUUGCAAAAAAUGAGGGCUAAGUUGAAAGAAAACUUCGGCAUCGAGGCAACUAACAUACAGUUAUGGAAAGCGAUACGGAAGGCAAGAGGAGAUGUUGGUGGUGGUUAUGUACACUCCUAUGCAAAUUUAUGGAGAUAUGCUGCUAUGAUUCAUAGGUCUGGCCCUGGAAGUGCUACUAUUGUACAAAGCCAACUUGUGACAGUCAAUAUAGAUGAUGGUGAGAUUGUAGAAGCCCCAAGAAUGCAGCCACAGUUCAAGAGAAUUUUCAUAUGUUAGGAAGGGGUCAAAAGUGGGUUCUUAGUUGGAUGUCGACUAUUUUCUGGAUUAGAUGGAUGUCAUCUAAAAGGGCCAUACGAAGGCAUCUUCUUGGCUGUUGCGGGGUUGAUGCAAACCUCCACUUCUACCCCCUUGCUUAUGCAAUUAUUGAAGCUGAAAACACAGAUAAUUGGAGUUGGUUUUUGGAGUUAUUGAGGGGAGAAUUUGGGGACAGUACCAGUGGCCAGCCAUGGUGCAUCAUGAGUGAUAGACAAAAGGGACUGAUUGAGGCCGUGGCUGCUAUACCAAAGGCAGAACACCGGUGAUGUUGUUUUCACAUUGAGAACAACAUGAUAAAAAAGUUUGGAACAUCACAACUAAGGAUUCUGUUUGUGGUAGCAGCUGAGACAACGAAUUUUGACACUUUCAAGCUCAUUAUGGACAUGAUAAAAGAAUUCAACUCAGAGGCACACGAGUGGUUAUCAAAUAUUGACUUCAACCAUUGGAAUUUGAGCAAGUUUGACACUAGAGCGAAAGUAGAACACAUUAUCAACAAUUUCGUUGAGUCAUUCAAUGAUUGGAUAGAGGAGCAUCGAUACAAGCCGCGAAUUGGACUAUUGGAAGGGAUAAGAAUGCAACAAUCAACUAUGAUGUAUGCUAGGAAAAAUACUAUAGAAAGAUGGGAGCACAAGCUCACUCCAAAGGUCCAACAAAAGGUACGUGAACUACUCAAGAUAGGUCAACUUGCACACGUAACAAGGGUUGGUGAAGAAGAAUUUCAGGUUGAUUGUGACAAGAAAAGUUGUACUGUUAGAUUAAAUGAAUGGUACUACAUUUGUGGGCAAUGACAGGUGAGAGGAAUAUCGUGUAUUCACAUUGCUGCUUGUAUAAGCAAAAUUAGGGCCAACAUAGAAGAUUAUUGCUCACCAUACUCCACCACUGAAAUGCGGAGGAAGAGUUUUCUGGGUGUAAUUCAUCCCAUAGCUAAUGAAUCUAUGUGGCCUGAGUUUGGUGAUGAAGAAUUAUUGUCUCCUGUCAUAAAGGUGCAACCAGGAAGACCCAAAAAGCAUCGCAGAAGAAGAGUUCCUGGAGAUGAGAGACCAUUGCCAUUAGUGACAGAAAACCAACCAUAGAGGUGUGUUUUUAGCACCAAAAAGUGUAAGAAUUGUCACGAGUUUGGACAUAACAAAAGGACUUGCAAGAAUACGAGAAUCAUAUCAAAGAACCAACCAUCUGAAGGCUCUUCUUAAGCACAAGUACCACCACCAACAGGCAAGGGCCGGUGAAAUACAAGUGGUCGAGGCAAAAAAAAUGUACCAACAACAAAAAGCAAAGGUAGAGGCCGAGGGACAAUAAUUGGAACAUCUUCUGAGGUUCAAGUUAAGAGCUUAGAGCCAUCAGCUGAGGAGAUGCACUUGUCUGAAGCACCAUUAAAUCUUUUCUCAACUCACAAUAGUUAGUAGAACCACAACCACAACUUUUGAAGAACAUAUUUAUUUUGUCUUAGGUUAUAUAUGUCGAAUGUUGUUCAUUUUGUAUGGCAUAAACCAUAGAUUGUUGGUGACUAUUUUGAUGUAAUGUGCUGGCUUUAUUUUGUAAAGCAAAGACACACUUAGCCUUAUUUUAGGUUACUUACUUGAUGUCAUGCAACUCAAAUUAUGAUAGUUGGUUUGCUUAUUUAUUUUGAAACUUGACAGUUGUGGUUUUAUGAUGAAAUAUGCAAUUAAUUUCAUUUUGCAAUCUUA